Molecule: long non-coding RNA, 2055 nt
Organism: Poecilia reticulata (guppy)
Lineage: Eukaryota; Metazoa; Chordata; Actinopteri; Cyprinodontiformes; Poeciliidae
Source: RefSeq, a predicted model, not a curated record
GCGAUGUUACUCAGAUUCUGACCUUGAGGGGAACCAGCCCAGCUGUCACAACGCAUUUUUACUGCGCAUCACAGGUAUUCAAACUUUCAGUCCAUGUGUCUUCGGUCAAGAGUUGGAACACCACAUGCCCCAGUUGAUGUCGGACUAACUCCCAGGUCGCCCACCAUAUAGUGCUGUACCAGGGCCCCACAGGGAACUGUGCUGGUACUGGAGACAGAACGCCUCUAGCUAAGAUAACAUCACUGGUGAAGAAUGACACCCACUCCAUUCAUGAAGUUGUUGCUGAACUGGAGAGCUCCGUCAGUUACAGACUGCUGCAUCUUCGGUGAAAGGAGUGUUAUCGUACCUCGUGCCCAGUAGCUGUUAGACUUUAUAACGAUAACUGCUCCUAUCAAAUUUAAUAGGUGUUUAUAUUUCUGUUGUUUGCACAGUUUUUUUAUUGUCACGUAUUGUAUAUAGACUUUUGCUUUUAAUGCACAGAUACAUAUAAACAUUGCGCGUUUCUUAAAUAAUCCUACUCAGUUGCACAUUUUUUUGGAUCAAAGUAUGCUUUUUGAAAACAUAUUUUAUGUUGUAAUUCAACCUUUACUGUAAAGUGUGUUAUUCUUAAUUAUGUUUUUAUAAAUUUUAUAUUUUCAUCUUUGUGUGAAUCUAAAUGUUUUGAUUACCUGCCUCUUUCAAUCUGGUUUUCGUAGGUUGCAUUCCACAGAAACAGCAUUAUUAUAAGUUUUUAGUGAUGUGUUGACGGCAGCUGAUUCUGGAAGCUACUCUGUGUUUGUUAACUGGACCUGACUUCAGCUUUUGACACUGUGGAUCACACUGUUCUUAUCAAGAGAUUAAGAGAUCUUUUUGGUAUUUCUGGCACUGUUUUAAACUGGUUUAACUCUUAUUUAUCUGAUAGGUCUUUCACUGUUUUUAUGAACAAUGUUCACUCUGAUGUUGCUCAGUUGUCAUAUGGGGUACCCCAAGGUUUAGUUUUGGGCCCACUCCUCUUUUUAUUGUACUUACGCCCACUGGGCUUUAUUUUAAAUCGCUACAGUAACGUCUCAUUCCAUGUUUAUGCUGACAAUAUUCAACUAUAUUCUUCAUUUCGAUCUUCUGAAUUUUAUAAACUGACUGAACACAGUAAGCUUGGCUUAAUGACAACUACCUGCAGUUAAAUGCAGGCAAGACUGAGACGCUUAUCAUAGCUCCUGAUGAUAAAAUCACGGAAAUCAGGAAGCAUCUUGGGUUUUUAAACCCUUUGAAUAAAAAUAGCCUCAGAAAUUGGGGUGUUCUUUUCGACAGUUCUCUGUCAUUGGACAAUCAUUGCAAAUUGUUAGUUCGCAACUGUUUUUACCAUUUAAGGAAUAUUUCGAAGUUGUGAGCUAUUUUAUCACAGAAGGAAUUAGAAAUGAUUGUCCAUGCUUUUAUUUCUUCUCGUUUAGACUAUUGUAACGGCCUUUUAGUGGGGAUAAGUAAAUCCUUCAUGGCUUGCCUUCAGUCUGUGCAAAACGCUGCUGCCAGGCUUUUAACUAGAACCCACAGAACAGAUCACAUAACUCCUGUUCUGGCCCCUCUGGCUCCCGGUGUAUUUUAGGACUCAUUUUAAACUUUUGGUUUUAACUUUUAAGGCACUUCAUGGUGAGGCUCCCAAAUAUAUAUUGGACCUUUUGAAGCCUCUCUGUCCGUCUAGGACUCUGAGGUCUUCUAAUCAGAUGCUGCUGUUGGUUCCCAGAACUCAUUUUUAAACAUGUGGUGACAGAGCAUUUCAGGAGGUGGCCGCGAGGCUCUGGAACGCUCUGCCUCUAUCAAUGCGCUGCUCCGAGUCAACGGACGCAUUUAAAAAAAGUCUCAAGACUUAUCUCUUUAGACUGGCUUUCGGUUAAUUUUGUUCAUUGAUUUCAGAUUUUUUAUUAUUGAUGUGUUUCCUUUUUUGUAAAGCACUUUGUGAUUUUUAUGUCUGUGAAAGGUGCUAUGUAAAUAAAGUUUACUUACUUACUUACUUGCACUUUGUUGCACCUGAAUUUGCCCACUUAGGGAAAAUGUAUAAUAAAAUAUAAUAUUUUUACUCUA